GCCUGGCUGGCUCAGUUGGUAGAGCAUGUGACUUAUGAUUUCAGGGGCAAGAGUUCAAGCCCCAUGUUGGGCA
Non-coding RNA from Mustela putorius furo (domestic ferret), 73 nucleotides. Lineage: Eukaryota; Metazoa; Chordata; Mammalia; Carnivora; Mustelidae. The record is from Rfam.